RNAcentral lists this long non-coding RNA (260 nucleotides) under Elaeis guineensis (African oil palm). Its description in RNAcentral is "long non-coding RNA (EGUI_LNC056268)". Lineage: Eukaryota; Viridiplantae; Streptophyta; Magnoliopsida; Arecales; Arecaceae. The record is from RNAcentral.
GGCAUUGUGAAAGUUCAUCCGCUGGAGGAGUCUGGAAGAUCCUGUGGAAGUCCGAUUGGCAUUGUUGAAGUCUGGCUAGCGCUAUUGAAGUUCGGCUGACGCUAUUGAAGGUUGAUGGCUGGAGAGGUACGGAAGACACUAGAGACGGUCGAUCGUUGUAGAAAUCCAACUGCUGGAGCCUGUCCGCUGUAGAAGUUCGUCCGAAAUCCAUCCGCUAUGGAAGUUCAGAUGGAGUCCGAUUCUUGUAGAAGUCUAGAUGG